CCCUUAGAUGUUCUGGGCUGCACGCGCGCUACACUGAUGCAUCCAACAAGUUUUUUCCUUGUUCGAGAGGACUAGGUAAUCUUAUGAGAAUGCAUCGUGAUGGGGAUAGAUUAUUGCAAUUAUUAAUCUUCAACGAGGAAUUCCUAGUAAGCGCGAGUCAUCAGCUCGUGCUGAUUACGUCCCUGCCCUUUGUACACACCGCCCGUCGCUGCAACUGAUUGGGUGACCUGGUGAACAUCUUGGACCGGCCCACUCAAUUUCGAGAGGACUGGAAAAGGCCGUAAAUCAGGUACAUCGAGAAAUUGCAAGUCGUAACA
RNAcentral lists this ribosomal RNA (317 nucleotides) under uncultured eukaryote. RNAcentral describes it as "partial 18S ribosomal RNA". It matches the Rfam family "Eukaryotic small subunit ribosomal RNA", at positions 1470 to 1796 of the family's 1831-position model. The record is from RNAcentral.